Molecule: ribosomal RNA, 434 nt
Filed under: uncultured bacterium
Lineage: Bacteria
Description: partial 16S ribosomal RNA
Rfam family: Bacterial small subunit ribosomal RNA
Source: RNAcentral
AGCGAACGCUGGCGGCAGGCCUAACACAUGCAAGUCGAACGAACCUUUCGGGGUUAGUGGCGGACGGGUGAGUAACACGUGUGAACGUGCCUUUAGGUUCGGAAUAACUCAGGGAAACUUGUGCUAAUACCGAAUGUGCCCUUCGGGGGAAAGAUUUAUCGCCUUUAGAGCGGCCCGCGUCUGAUUAGCUAGUUGGUUGAGGUAAUGGCUCACCAAGGCGACGAUCAGUAGCUGGUCUGAGAGGAUGAUCAGCCACAUUGGGACUGAGACACGGCCCAAACUCCUACGGGAGGCAGCAGUGGGGAAUCUUGCGCAAUGGGCGAAAGCCUGACGCAGCCAUGCCGCGUGAAUGAUGAAGGUCUUAGGAUUGUAAAAUUCUUUCACCGGGGACGAUAAUGACGGUACCCGGAGAAGAAGCCCCGGCUAACUUCGUG